AGUAACACGUGACUACUACCCUUGAGUGGGGGAUAACCUAGGGAAACCUGGGCUAAUACCGCAUAAUACCUUCGGGUCAAAGGAGCAAUUCGCUUUAGGAGGGGGUCGCGGCGAUUAGUUAGUUGGCGGGGUAAUGGCCACCAAGACUGUGAUCGGUAUCCGGCCUGAGAGGGCGCACGGACACACUGGAACCGAAACACGGUCCAGACUCCUACGGGAGGCAGCAGUGGGGAAUUUUGCGCAAUGGGGGAAACCCUUGACGCAGCAACGCCGCGUGGAGGAUGAAGCCCCUUGGGGCGUAAACUCCUUUCGAUCGGGAAGAUAAUGACGGUACCGAGAGAAGAAGCCCCGGCUAACUUCGUGCCAGCAGCCGCGGUAAUACGAGGGGGGCGAGCGUUGUUCGGAAUUAUUGGGCGUAAAGGGUGCGUAGGCGGUUCAGUAAGUCUUGUGUGAAAUCUUCGGGCUCAAUCGAAGUCUGCAUGAGAAACUGCUGGGCUUGAGUAUGGGAGAAG
This 512-nucleotide ribosomal RNA is filed under the name uncultured bacterium. RNAcentral describes it as "bacterial SSU rRNA". It matches the Rfam family "Bacterial small subunit ribosomal RNA", at positions 109 to 657 of the family's 1533-position model. The record is from RNAcentral.